Pleuronectes platessa (European plaice) is the source of this 986-nucleotide long non-coding RNA. RefSeq lists it as uncharacterized. Lineage: Eukaryota; Metazoa; Chordata; Actinopteri; Pleuronectiformes; Pleuronectidae. The transcript is spliced from 3 exons. The record is from RefSeq and is a predicted model, not a curated record.
CGUGUGCUGUGGUGUGUGUGUUUGCAUGAUAGGAAAUCUGGGCUGAGCUCAGAGUAGAAAGAAGAAUUCUCCCAGAUUCAAACCCACUGACCUACAUGAGCGUUAAAUAUUUGCAGCUCGCGACUGACACUGGAAUUUCCCGUUUGCCUGACGAGCUGUUUUUUUUUUUAUUCCAGAGAGUUUCAUGGCCGAGAGAUGAGCAGAACAAACAGACACAAUCGUUCACCACAGAAUCUGAUGUGUCGCAACCCUCCCUGCGUCAUCUGGUCCUGCUGGCUCCAGUUUGUAAAACCACAGCCGGAGACAUGUCCACUUCCUACUGAUCCCUAGAGGGCAGUAGUGGGGCAGUCCUUGAAAUGGAGUGAAUGGGGCUAAACCAUAGAAGAACCGUAGACUGGGAAUAAAGAUGGACGACACGUCUCCAUUGUCCCACUAGCUAACAUGGAGGAGGUGGGAUAUAUCGCCUGUUCUGCAACCAGCCACCAGGGGGCGAUUGAGAAACUUUGGCUUCACUUUUGGCAAAGAAGGUGAAAUGUCUCCCUCUGUCGUCCAGGAUAGAUUCGAGGUCUUGUGGUUCGUACCGGUUUUGCCCACGUUGCUCGCCCCCAGCACCACGAUCUUCACGGUCCGGGUGGGGACGCAGUCCAGCAGCGGGUACUCCGGGAUGGGAACCAGCAGGAAGUUGCCGGACCCGCCGCUGCUCAUGGUUCUCGGUGCAGAGUCUCCAGUCAGACGCAUCGAGCUCCUCUCCGCCCUCGGAUCAGCCUCCUGCUCAGUGGGGGGGAAUGAUCCCUCCGCCCCGGGGAGAGGGAGCCGACACAAUCACUCCAAUAUUCCCAUAACGUCCCAUAAUAAUCCCUCAGAGCUCCAGAGGAAUCCCGGAGCCGGACCCGUGCAGCUUCAUUCCGGGAGAAACGGGCUUUUCUCUGAGAUGCAAUAAAUCCAGAUAGUUCCUCAAAGUUCUUCCCCCGUGAAGGAGAGAGUUC